ACGGAGGGUGCAAGCGUUAUCCGGAUUUAUUGGGUUUAAAGGGUGCGUAGGCGGAUUAAUAAGUCAGUGGUGAAAACCUUCAGCUUAACUGGAGAACUGCCAUUGAUACUGUUAGUCUUGAGUACGGUCAAGGUAGGCGGAAUGUGUAAGGUAGCGGUGAAAUGCUUAGAUAUUACGAAGACCACCGAUUGCGAAGGCAGCUUACUGGACCAUUCCUGACGCUGAGGCACGAAAGCGUGGGGAGCGAACAG
Molecule: ribosomal RNA, 251 nt
Filed under: uncultured prokaryote
Description: partial 16S rRNA
Rfam family: Bacterial small subunit ribosomal RNA
Source: RNAcentral